AGUGAACGCUGGCGGUAGGCCUAACACAUGCAAGUCGAACGGCAGCACAGUAAGAGCUUGCUCUUACGGGUGGCGAGUGGCGGACGGGUGAGGAAUACAUCGGAAUCUACUUUUUCGUGGGGGAUAACGUAGGGAAACUUACGCUAAUACCGCAUACGACCUACGGGUGAAAGCAUGGGAGCUUCGGACCUUUCGCGAUUGAAUGAGCCGAUGUCGGAUUAGCUAGUUGGCGGGGUAAAGGCCCACCAAGGCGACGAUCCGUAGCUGGUCUGAGAGGAUGAUCAGCCACACUGGAACUGAGACACGGUCCAGACUCCUACGGGAGGCAGCAGUGGGGAAUAUUGGACAAUGGGCGCAAGCCUGAUCCAGCCAUACCGCGUGGGUGAAGAAGGCCUUCGGGUUGUAAAGCCCUUUUGUUGGGAAAGAAAAGCAGCAGGUUAAUACCCCGCUGUUCUGACGGUACCCAAAGAAUAAGCACCGGCUAACUUCGUG
This 492-nucleotide ribosomal RNA is filed under the name uncultured bacterium. RNAcentral describes it as "partial 16S ribosomal RNA". It matches the Rfam family "Bacterial small subunit ribosomal RNA", at positions 29 to 507 of the family's 1533-position model. The record is from RNAcentral.